Molecule: transfer RNA, 97 nt
Filed under: Neocucurbitaria cava
Lineage: Eukaryota; Fungi; Ascomycota; Dothideomycetes; Pleosporales; Cucurbitariaceae
Description: Pyrenochaeta cava tRNA
Rfam family: tRNA
About the family: Transfer RNA (tRNA) molecules are approximately 80 nucleotides in length. Their secondary structure includes four short double-helical elements and three loops (D, anti-codon, and T loops).
Source: Rfam by way of RNAcentral
GGGCUUGUGGUUUAGUGGUAUAAUACUCCCUUAGCAUCUCUAGAACAUCUAGAACAGUGAAUGGGAGUGGUCCAGGGUUCGAUUCCCUGCAAGUCCA